AGAGUUUGAUCCUGGCUCAGGAUGAACGCUAGCUACAGGCUUAACACAUGCAAGUCGAGGGGCAGCGGGAUUGAAGCUUGCUUCAAUUGCCGGCGACCGGCGCACGGGUGAGUAACGCGUAUCCAACCUUCCGCUUACUCGGGGAUAGCCUUUCGAAAGAAAGAUUAAUACCCGAUGGUAUCUUAAGCACGCAUGAGAUUAAGAUUAAAGAUUUAUCGGUAAGCGAUGGGGAUGCGUUCCAUUAGGCAGUUGGCGGGGUAACGGCCCACCAAACCUACGAUGGAUAGGGGUUCUGAGAGGAAGGUCCCCCACAUUGGAACUGAGACACGGUCCAAACUCCUACGGGAGGCAGCAGUGAGGAAUAUUGGUCAAUGGGCGAGAGCCUGAACCAGCCAAGUAGCGUGAAGGAUGACGGCCCUACGGGUUGUAAACUUCUUUUGUGCGGGAAUAAAGGAACCUACGUGUAGGUUUUUGCAUGUACCGUAACGAAUAAGCAUCGGCUAACUCCGUGCCAGCAGCCGCGGU
Molecule: ribosomal RNA, 525 nt
Filed under: uncultured Bacteroides sp.
Lineage: Bacteria; Pseudomonadati; Bacteroidota; Bacteroidia; Bacteroidales; Bacteroidaceae
Description: bacterial SSU rRNA
Rfam family: Bacterial small subunit ribosomal RNA
Source: RNAcentral